Molecule: long non-coding RNA, 689 nt
Filed under: Homo sapiens (human)
Lineage: Eukaryota; Metazoa; Chordata; Mammalia; Primates; Hominidae
Description: HSALNT0165384
Source: RNAcentral
CACAAAGAGAACCAUGGAACCCAGCAACUAGUGUUCAGCUCGAUUAGGGCAAACUCGGGCACUUAGCCGUGCAGGAACAAUGGCUAUUAUCUUGAAUCAUUUUAGAAAUAUAAUAAAUGAUUGCCUAGUGAAAAAAAAAAAACUGAACAGAUGACUGAAAUCUCCAAGGAAGCAUGUGUAGACUUUCAUGAGAAGAAAACUGAAAAUUGAUUUUUGGUGGAGGAAGGACAAGGAUGCUAUUUCCUGCAAGAGAAGACAAAUCUGCAUAACAGAAGGGGCCAUAAGACAUGAGAAUGUAGUGCUGGCUUGUAUACCGUGGGUUGAAGUGAAUUGAACAAAACCAUCUGAGGGUUGUUCAGAAGAUAGACGGGAAGAUGGUUUCAGAAAAGUUUCUGUGACCAAAGUUAAUAUAGGAAAUUCCUCUGAUGUUCUUUGAGAAGCAAAAGUAAAUAAUUGGAUGUUUCUUAAAAUACAUUUGGCUGGCAAACGCCCCUCAGUUUUCCCAUUGAUGAAAACAAGCCAGACAGCGGACAAAGAAAGAUAUGGUGACUUGAAAGUAGGGAUGACUAAUGAAGUUCAGACCGGAAGCCCUGUGAGGAGAUAGGAUGGCUGGGAUAAGACAGCUAAAAUGUGUUUCUGAAAAGCCACCAAGAAGCCAUGACUGAUUCACUGUGAGUAAACUGGUUCCU